AGCUCCAGCAAGCAGCAGAUCUCAGAAGCUUUGGCAAUGUGGCUCUGUCUUUAAAGUCAAGAGGCUAAGGUCAUAAAAUGCUGAUUCGUGGGAUAAUCGAAAGGAAACCUGGUAGGACAGACAGUGUUUGAUAGACCUUGGCCCCCACUUGAACCCUGCAGUCUGCUCUUCCUUGGAAAGAAUCCCAUUUCAGACAGACACUUCUGGCAGAAGGUGCUGACAGACGUGGGAUGAGGCCGGAACUCGUGUCCUGUGACAAUCACCAGCUUUCUGAGGCCUACUCAUGUGUCUGUGCAGAAUGGCCACUUCUGGAUUCUGUUUUCAAUAAACAACAGUGAUCCCAAAUGU
Molecule: long non-coding RNA, 348 nt
Filed under: Mus musculus (house mouse)
Lineage: Eukaryota; Metazoa; Chordata; Mammalia; Rodentia; Muridae
Description: RIKEN cDNA 1700112M02 gene
Source: RNAcentral